Molecule: ribosomal RNA, 347 nt
Filed under: uncultured bacterium
Lineage: Bacteria
Description: partial 16S ribosomal RNA
Rfam family: Bacterial small subunit ribosomal RNA
Source: RNAcentral
CCUACGGGAGGCUGCAGUGAGGAAUAUUGGUCAAUGGGCGCAAGCCUGAACCAGCCAAGUCGCGUGAGGGAUGACGGUCCUAUGGAUUGUAAACCUCUGUUGUCGGGGAGCAAGGCCCGCCACGUGUGGCGGGAAGGAGAGUACCCGAAGAAAAAGCAUCGGCUAACUCCGUGCCAGCAGCCGCGGUACUACGGAGGCUGCGAGCGUGAUCCGGAUUUAAUGGGGUGAAAGGGUGAGUAGGCGGACGGUUAAGGCAGCGUUCAAAUGUCGGGGCUCAACCCCGGCCUGCCGUUGAAACUGGUCUUCUUGAGUGAGCGAUAAGUAUGCGGAAUGCGUGGUGUAGCGGU